CUGUCCUUGUUCAGGGUUCCACUCUGAAUGUUGACUAGAGAUUGUUCUCAUGAAUGCACAUGUACUUUGUCUAAUACAUAGUACAUCAUACAUAUUACAUCACUGUAAUAUAGACGCAGACAGCUAGUGAGAAGUAGGAGUGAUGUUUGGGGCAAAACCAUCAGAGAAAUAAAAAGAGGACAUUACUGAAUUGUGUGAACCAUCAAUCUGAAACACUGUUACUGAGGAAUGUCUGUUUAGUACGGAGAUACCAUUUACUUUUUAUGUAUCUCAGUAGUUAAAAAGGUGCAUUUCAUCAUAGUAUCCCAGUUUGGAGUCCUAGCUACAGUAUCCUUUGCUUUCUGCUCUCUGUAGAAAAUAUUAUUUUCUUGAUGGAAAUUAUUACAUUACCUUUCAUGUCAUUUCUAGAGACUUUAAUGCUGCUUCAGUCUUAUUAUGAAACCAAUUUGUGAUAUACAACCUCACUCAUUUACUGGUGUGACACUGCUAUUAGCUUCAUGGGAUCCAGAAUUUCAAAUGGUUUGUCUUGCAUGUCUCUGGUUUCUUCAGCGGCCUUUAGAAAAGCAGGUGGUAGGAGAUUGUCUGGUUCUAGUUUCAUGGAUUUUUCUACAGCUUUUUAAGCCCAAAGCCUUCUAGGGGAUAUUUUUUUAUCUUUCAAAUCCUGUUCCUCUGUGUAAGUAUUUGUGAGCAGGCAGCCCUAAUAAAGAUUGUGUCAGGAUUCUGAGAGUAUGGUGGAAUAGAUUAUACAAAAUGUCUGAAAAAAAUUGCAAGUGCUACACUUGUCUGGUCCUGUGCAAGGAAGGAAAUUCAUGGAGUGAAAGAAAGCAAGCAAAUUAAAGCUAGUCAAGUGCAUUGGUUGUAUCUUCUGGCUCUCCCCAAAUGAUCAUACUCUCAAUGUAGAUCUUUUCGCUGCAGCACGUAGAGCAGCCCUGUAAUAGACGGUCACUGUUCUUUUUUAGAAUCCCUUAUGUCCUUUAGAUUUCUUUUCCCCAUUUGCUUACUGCAUUUUUUGAAAGGUUGUGUUUUAUUUAAAUAGCUUCUUUCUUCAAAUCAUUUAAAGAAAAAUAAAUGCGUUAGGUUAAUAAAGUUUUCUUCAUUUUAGAAUGCGCUGCCUAACUCUCUUCAAUAAACUUCCUUCUCCAAUGAAAAGUUCUUACAUUUCUGUAUUAACCAGAAUAGAAAUAAGAAUGGAUGACAUGUAAAAAAAGAAAUAAAACUUUUAUCCAAAAUCA
RNAcentral lists this long non-coding RNA (1232 nucleotides) under Strigops habroptila (Kakapo). Its description in RNAcentral is "lncRNA (ENSSHBG00005011897.1)". The record is from RNAcentral. Lineage: Eukaryota; Metazoa; Chordata; Aves; Psittaciformes; Psittacidae.